RNAcentral lists this ribosomal RNA (459 nucleotides) under uncultured beta proteobacterium. RNAcentral describes it as "bacterial SSU rRNA". It matches the Rfam family "Bacterial small subunit ribosomal RNA", at positions 1 to 433 of the family's 1533-position model. Lineage: Bacteria; Pseudomonadati; Pseudomonadota; Betaproteobacteria. The record is from RNAcentral.
GUCGACCUGCAGGCGGCCGCGAAUUCACUAGUGAUUAGAGUUUGAUCCUGGCUCAGAUUGAACGCUGGCGGCAUGCUUUACACAUGCAAGUCGAACGGCAGCACGGGGGCAACCCUGGUGGCGAGUGGCGAACGGGUGAGUAAUGUAUCGGAACAUGUCCGGAAGUGGGGGAUAACGUAGCGAAAGUUACGCUAAUACCGCAUAUGCCCUGAGGGGGAAAGGUGGGGAUCGCAAGACCUAUCGCUUUCGGAGUGGCCGAUAUCAGAUUAGCUUGUUGGUGAGGUAAAGGCUCACCAAGGCGACGAUCUGUAGCUGGUCUGAGAGGACGACCAGCCACACUGGGACUGAGACACGGCCCAGACUCCUACGGGAGGCAGCAGUGGGGAAUUUUGGACAAUGGGGGCAACCCUGAUCCAGCCAUGCCGCGCGAGUGAAGAAGGCCUUCGGGUUGUAAAGCUC